UGCAUGUUACUAACUUGACUUCUUCCCUGGAGUUCUUUGUGCUUUCUCAUCCGCAGGAAACCCCAGGGACCUGCCCUUGGCCAUGGGGAUGUCCUUCUCCAGCCGUUGUUGCUGUUUGUUGUUGCUAGUCAUGUAUUUAUUGUUGUUGUUGUUGUUGUUGCUGUUGUUGUUCUGCUUCUCUGUGUCCCCCCUCCCCCUUUCUUUCUCACACUGCUCACAGUUUUCUUCGAAGACAUACUUCCUGCUCUCUAGUGCUUGCAGUAGUUGCUGAAGAAAAGUGGGAGCUGACUGUACAGUCUCAAUGCAAUUUAUACUCAAGGUGAGACCAGGAGUCUGGCCCAUCCUGCAGGCAAAGCCCCCAAAAAGCAAUUGGCCACCAAGGCUGCCUGUAGGAGCACCCUGGCCACCAACCCUGUGAAGAAGCCUCACUGUUACAGGCUCAGUACCAUGGCUCUGAGAGAGAUCUGUCGCUACCAGAAAUCCACCAAACUGCUGGUCUGCAAGCUGCCCUUACAGCACGUGGUCAGAGAAAUCGCUCAGGAUUUCAAGGCCGACCUGUGCUUCUAGAGCUCCGCUGUCAUGACUCUGCAAGAGGCCAGUAAGGCUUUCCUGGUCAGCCUGUUCAAGGACACCAACCAUGCCAAGAGGGUCACCAUCAUGCCCAAAUACAUCCAGCUUACCCGCCGCAUCCUUGAUGAUGUGGUCCUGCUGGCUUCAACACACUGAUGGUUUGCAGCUGAAUGUGAAGUGGUCGGAAUGAGAGUCACCUCCAAGUCUGAGGCCAUGGUGCUAUGCCAGUGAGGUCAACAGGCAGAUCAAUGCAGCAUCAGCAGUAAUGCGGGCAUUGUACAGGACCACUUUGGUGAAGAAGGAGCUGAGCCAGAAGACAAUGCUCUCAAUUUACCAGUCGAUCUAUGUUCCAACCCUCAUCUAUGGUCACAAGCUUUGGGUAGUGACUGAAAGAAUGAGAAUGCAGAUACAAACAGCCAAAAUGAGUUUCCUCCGGAGGGUGUCUGGGGUCAGCCUUGCAGAUAGGUUGAGGAGUUCGGAGAUCCAGGAGGAGCUUGGAGUACAGCUGCUGCUCCUUUGCGUUCAAAGGAACCAGUUCAGGUGAUUUGGGCACCUGAUGCCUCCUGGAAGCCGCCCUCUGGAGGUGUUCCGGGCACGUCCAACUUGUAGGAGGGUGAUGUGUAGGUGUCCUUACUCAGUCUGAUGCCACUGACCCUUCAUGGGUUGCAGAGGACUGCAGCAGAAAAUGGAUGGAUGGAUAGAUACCAGAUUAUACCAGAUCUUUGUAUAGGACAGCAGAAUUAAUUAGAGGAUUCUGAUGUUGAGGACUCAAGGCCAUCAAAGAAUUGAUCUUCUUAUGUAUUGGUGGAACGUCCAUGUCAAUAUCCUCUAUAGCUAGCUUUCCAUCCAAAUGUAGUGCAAAUUUGAACCACAAUCUGAUUUCAUGCUGGACACAGCGUGACUAGUUUUCUACACAACAGCAGGGCACAGGAAAGUUUGUUAGCUUGCUGAGGGGUUUGUAGGUGUACAGCUCACUGUGGCUGCUUAUGACUGUUCCAUUACUCUCUGCAAAAUUUAAAACUGAUCCGCUGUCAAAAAAUAAUGAAAAAAUGACUGCUGCCUUGUUUUGUAGACGCAUUUUUGAUGAACAAUCUAGCCUUGGUGUCAAAUACAUUAUGUUUCCUGUUAUUGCUUAACAAUAAAAGUACUAACUAACCCCCAUGUUUUGCCAAUUGAACACUUAAUGUGAAGCAGCAGUAGUUGAAAAUGGUCGGUUUGCAUUUAGCAAUAACUUAACAGUAAACAGUGAGGCUGAUAUCAGUGAGAUCCAGUUAUCAACAGAAACACUGUUACCUCGUGUGUGAAGUCAAUUUGAAUAAACUCAGCAGCUAACAAUGAAAGUGACUUAAUGUUGAGGUAAUUAAUGAAUGUUAGACAAUUAUUGACCAAUGAACAUGUCGAUAAUGCCUUAAAUGGAUAAAAAAAAAUAACGUCUAUCUUGUCACAAACACUGAUGUACUAUGCAUAUGUAAAUUCCCCAGUUAAAAUUGAGGGAAAGACAGAAGUUCAACCUCUUUAAUUAUAUUCUCAUUUUUAUAAAUUUGGUGAUCCUGACUUUUUAUCUAG
Molecule: long non-coding RNA, 2136 nt
Organism: Thunnus maccoyii (southern bluefin tuna)
Lineage: Eukaryota; Metazoa; Chordata; Actinopteri; Scombriformes; Scombridae
Exons: 3
Source: RefSeq, a predicted model, not a curated record